CUACGCUAUGUUAUUUUUGUUAUGAAUCUCGAUGAUAUCAUAUCUAUUUAAAGAGCAACUAAAUGAUCGUAGAUAAACAGAAAUUCCUUUCAAAUGUUAUCGGAUCGAAAGUGCAUGGAUUUUCUAUACAUCCUAACCCUAAAUUGUGUUUGUUUGUGACAUUUAUUUGAGGUUAUAAUGACAUGGAAUCAUAUUAAAAUCGUCGUUGCAGUAGACAGUAAGAUAUAAUUGAAAAUCUUUUUAAAAAUGGCAGAAGGAGGCUUUGGGUGUACGGAUACAGAGACUGGAAGCGUUUCUAGACCCAACAGUCUGUACAGUCGUCACUCUCAGAAUUAUGUAGAGAGUGUGUCUGUUGAGAUCUGUACUAUAAUGACCCGGUUGGGAUACGGCGAGGAGAUGAGACGGUGGCGCGUUGCGAGGUACAGGGAGUGUGACAGACUGAGAAAUGCAUACCUUAG
This is a long non-coding RNA of Dreissena polymorpha, 458 nucleotides long. RefSeq lists it as uncharacterized. The record is from RefSeq and is a predicted model, not a curated record. NCBI's taxonomy places the organism in Eukaryota, Metazoa, Mollusca, Bivalvia, Myida, Dreissenidae. The transcript is spliced from 3 exons.